UAUCCUCCCUGGUUUCAUCCAGCACCUCCUGCUGCCUCCCUAGCCUGUGCCUCCAGUUGGCUGCUCCAACACCAGUCGAGAAAGACAAUGACAGGAGAGGGAAUUACUGAAGAACAGCAUGAACAGUUCAAGCUGAUUGCAGAAAACUACCAUAAAGCUGCAGCCAGAAAGGCUCAUGUGCCUCAUGGGCUUUGCUGCCCAGGAUGGCAUCAAGUUACCUUGGCAGAACUUGGAAAAGUACACCUGGGAAAGCUGGAAGAAGGCCCCAUUGUGAAAAUAUAAGUUAAAAAUGUGCCCAGACAUUCCCU
Passer domesticus (house sparrow) is the source of this 308-nucleotide long non-coding RNA. RefSeq lists it as uncharacterized. The transcript has 3 exons. NCBI's taxonomy places the organism in Eukaryota, Metazoa, Chordata, Aves, Passeriformes, Passeridae. The record is from RefSeq and is a predicted model, not a curated record.